This is an RNA transcript of Lemur catta (Ring-tailed lemur), 995 nucleotides long. It is a transcript of the gene named glyceraldehyde-3-phosphate dehydrogenase-like, with no coding region annotated. The transcript is spliced from 2 exons. The record is from RefSeq and is a predicted model, not a curated record. NCBI's taxonomy places the organism in Eukaryota, Metazoa, Chordata, Mammalia, Primates, Lemuridae.
AUGUACAGAAAUCUUGGCUCCAUAAACGUGGUGCAAGUGAAGGCCAGAGUAAACAGAUUUGGCCAUAUUGGACACCUGGUCACCAGCGCUGCUUUUAACUCCAGCAAGGUGGAUAUUGUUGUUAUCAUUGACCUCAACUGUAUGGUCUACAGUGUUCCAGUAUGAUUCCACCCAUGGCAAGUUCCAUAGUGCAGUCAAGGCUGAGAGUGGGAAGCUUAUCAUCAAUGGACAUCCUGCAUACAUUUUCCGUAAGCAAGAUCCUACCAAAAUCAAAUGGGGGGGGAUGCUGGUGCUGAUUAUGUUGUAGAGUCCACAGGUGUCUUCACUACCUUGGAGAAGGCUGGGGCUCCCUAGAAGGGGAGCCAAAAGGGUCAUCAUCUCUGCCCUCUCUGCUGAUGCCCCAUGUUUGUGAUGGGUGUGACCCAUGAGAAGUAUGGAAACAACCUCACAAUCCUCAGCAAUGCCUCCUGCACCACCAGCCACUCAGCCCCCCGGGGCCAAGGUCAUCCAUGACAACUUUCGCAUCAUGGGAGGACCCAUGACCAUAGACCAUACCACCCCAGAGCACUGUGGGCAGGCCCUCUGGGAGACUGUGGCAUGACACGGGGCUCUCCAGAACAUCAUCCUUGCAUCUACUGGCACUGCCAAGGCUGUGGGCAAGGUCGUCCCUGAGCUGAAUGGGAAGCUCACUGGCAUGGCGUUCUGUGUCCCCACUGCCAACCUGUCAGUUAUGGACCUGACCUGCCAUCCAGAAAGACCUGUCAAAUAUGAUUACAUCAAGAAGGUAGUGAAGCAGACAUUAGAAGGCUGAAGAGCAUACUGGGCUACACAGAGCACCAGGUUGUCUCCUCUGACUUUAACAGCAACACCCACUCUUCUGCCUUCAAGGCUGGGACUGGCAUUGCCAUCAACAACCACUUUGUCAAGCUCAUUCCCUGGUAUGCCAAUGAAUUUGGCUAUAGCAAAUUAUGGUCCACAUGGCCUCCAAGGAGUAG